GACGAACGCUGGCGGCGUGCUUAACACAUGCAAGUCGAACGGAAAGGCCCUGCUUUUGUGGGGUGCUCGAGUGGCGAACGGGUGAGUAACACGUGAGUAACCUGCCCUUGACUUUGGGAUAACUUCAGGAAACUGGGGCUAAUACCGGAUAGGAGCUCCUGCUGCAUGGUGAGGGUUGGAAAGUUUCGGCGGUUGGGGAUGGACUCGCGGCUUAUCAGCUUGUUGGUUGGGUAGUGGCAUACCAAGGCUUUGACGGGUAGCCGGCCUGAGAGGGUGACCGGCCACAUUGGGCCUGAGAUACGGCCCAGACUGGUACGGGAGGCAGCAGUGGGGAAUAUUGCACAAUGGGCGGAAGCCUGAUGCAGCAACGCCGCGGGCGGGAUGACGGCCUGCGGGUUGUAAACCGCUUUCGCCUGUGACGAAGCGGGAGUGACGGUAAUGGGUAAAGAAGCACCGGCUAACUACGUG
This 468-nucleotide ribosomal RNA is filed under the name uncultured bacterium. Its description in RNAcentral is "partial 16S ribosomal RNA". It matches the Rfam family "Bacterial small subunit ribosomal RNA", at positions 28 to 507 of the family's 1533-position model. The record is from RNAcentral.